GAAGCUGGCCAGGCAGUCGCUGUUUGUUGUUCUUCGGAAUAACGUGCAGAGGAAAGUCCGGACUCCACAGAGCAGGAUGUCGGCUAAUGACCGAACACCGUGAGGUGAGGAAUAGGGCCACAGAGACGAGCGUAUUAAGUUACGGUGAAACGCGGUAACCUCCAUCCGGAGCAAGACCAAAUAGGCAGGCGAUGAGGUUGCUCGCGGAGCCUGCGGGUAGGUUGCUAGAAUGUACGGGUAACCGUGCAUCCAGAUGAAUGACUGUCCACGACAGAAUCCGGCUUAUCGGCCAGCUUUUUUA
RNAcentral lists this RNase P RNA (301 nucleotides) under Nitrosomonas sp. RNAcentral's name for it is "RNase P RNA component class A". It matches the Rfam family "Bacterial RNase P class A". Rfam says of the family: Ribonuclease P (RNase P) is a ubiquitous endoribonuclease, found in archaea, bacteria and eukarya as well as chloroplasts and mitochondria. Its best characterised activity is the generation of mature 5'-ends of tRNAs by cleaving the 5'-leader elements of precursor-tRNAs. The record is from RNAcentral. Lineage: Bacteria; Pseudomonadati; Pseudomonadota; Betaproteobacteria; Nitrosomonadales; Nitrosomonadaceae.